RNAcentral lists this small nuclear RNA (151 nucleotides) under Nannospalax galili (Upper Galilee mountains blind mole rat). RNAcentral's name for it is "U1 spliceosomal RNA (ENSNGAG00000009135.1)". It matches the Rfam family "U1 spliceosomal RNA". Rfam says of the family: U1 is a small nuclear RNA (snRNA) component of the spliceosome (involved in pre-mRNA splicing). Its 5' end forms complementary base pairs with the 5' splice junction, thus defining the 5' donor site of an intron. Lineage: Eukaryota; Metazoa; Chordata; Mammalia; Rodentia; Spalacidae. The record is from RNAcentral.
AUACUUAUUUGGCAAGGGGAGAUGCUAUGAUAAUGAAGUUUAUGUUCCCAAGGGAGGCUUAUCCAUACCACUCUAGAUGUGCUGAUCCCUGCAAUUUCCUAAAAUGUGGGAAAUUGGGCUGCAUUUUUUUUUUUUGGUCUUUUUGAGACAG